GGUUUCUCCUAAGCCAGCCGGCUUAGAAUUAUCUUCGCGGCAGUGUGGGUUUUCUCAGUGAGGCUUACGACGUUCAACCCAUAAGCCCAGCCACUCACGAUCACGUGUGUCGCACCAUUGCCGGUCUCAGACGCCUCGCUCAGCCUUUACCCACAAACCCAACUACAGUCGGCCAUUACAACUCACCUACCUCAUCAGUGUUUUGACAAUAGUGCCAUUUUUAAAGCUCCAGCAAGAAAUCUGUUUACAAAAUUUUUUUAAAAACAUCAAGUUUCAUUGCAAGAAAAUUCUAGUACUGAGUUUAUGUUGAUGUUUUGUGCUCUGCAUCACUGUAAGUGUUGUAUUUCUUUUUGUUGUGUGUUUUAGCACCUAUUAUUUUUCAUAUUUUAUUGAACAAAUUCACUCUUAGUGCAAUUUUUUUAAGUUCUCCUUUUAAAGUAAAUUGUUCUUUUGCUUGUUGUUUAAGUGCAGUUAAGAGUUAAAGUGUUCAUUCCUUGAUAUAUUUCUUUUCUUGUGUGUUAUAAUUUUAAUUAUUGCACACAGACUCAUUUUGCAAUAAUUCUUGUGCAAAUAUUGUGUUGCUAUUAAAGUUUUUCUUGCAGAAAAUUUUAUGCAGUGUUGUGCAAUACAGUUUAUUACAGUGCAGUUUCUUAUGUUCUGUUCUGUGCAUAGUAUUUUAUUCUGUCUGUGUCAUUUUAUUUUUUUUAUUUCAGUGAAUUGUGUGUUUGUUUUAAUUUUUGCACAAGUUUAUUGAGUCCAUUUUAUUAUUUUAUUGUGUAUUUUCCUUGUUGCAUUGAAAGUAAAGACAACUCACUGUGCCAUUUAUUCAAUUUAAAGUAAAAGUUGAGCAUAUUAGAUUUGAGCAAAGUACAAGUUCUCUUGAUUUUCAGUGUUUGCUAAGUUGCAUAUUCUUCUUGUGUGAGUUCUUUGCUUACUGUGUAACUUGUCAAUUUUUAAUUACUUAUGCAGAAUAGUUAAGCAUUUUUUUCCAUUUAAGCUUAUUGUGUCAUUCUCUCCAUUUUUCUUGACUUAUGCCCUUCAGUAUUUUCACUGAGAAGAUGUCCCAGUCACUUUUGAAUGUUCACUUAGUGUAUCAUUCCAGUCAAAGUCAAUAUGAAUCAGUCCACAGUACCAACAUUCCCUUACUGACUGAAAGACAAUACCUAGCCCUUGAGCAAUGUGUUUGUUCUCACAGCUUGUAUCUGAGAUUUGUUAAAGUGCUGCGAAAUGUGAAGUUCAGAUUAAGUUCCUAUAGAUCCGUGAAUUACUUAUUAACGUAGCCGAGCGGUCAGGCACUAGUAAUUCUGUCACUCCCAUCUGUGUUCCACCUAUACCUUCAGACUUGCAGGAUAGUGUUCCGUUGCCUCAAGUGUCCGGGGACACUCAGACUGCCUUGAGUGCACAGCCUAUCCCUGCAAUGACUGCUAGUUCGAGUAGUAGUUUCUCCACAGGGGAUGCCUUGUCAGAAAACGAUUACUUGCAACUAGUAAUGCCAUCUCUUUUGAUGUGACAUGCUGUCUGCAGAAAGACGUCUCUGUUACAGCAAGUGUUCUCACUAGAGUGUCUGUUGUUGUUCCUUGUGUUUCAGAUGGUGAUCCCAUCCUAGUUGACAGUAAUCAGUGCAUUGUAAGAAGUUAUUUCUCGAGUAACUUUCACAUGUUAACGUUUGUAAGUGUAGUUUCUUUAUAGCUGAUACCUCGUGUCACUGUGUGCGACUCAGAUUGAAUAUCAGCAUUGUUCACCGUGUUCAUUUCUUUUCUCCUGUGCUUGCAGUUGAGAUAGUAGAUUCGUUCUCCCUUGCUCAUAUUGCGUGUUAUAGCGUUAAUUUUUUCAACCGGGGGGAGUCAUCCACUCCACCGAGUUUGUUCUUUCCUCCAGUAAGGAAGAACUGAUACCUUUAUUCCAGAACAAACAGCCUACUGGAAGGUUAGCCAGAUGGACCUUGACUAUCCAAGAGUUCAAU
Non-coding RNA from Cherax quadricarinatus, 1963 nucleotides. The record is from RefSeq and is a predicted model, not a curated record. Lineage: Eukaryota; Metazoa; Arthropoda; Malacostraca; Decapoda; Parastacidae.